RNAcentral lists this ribosomal RNA (333 nucleotides) under uncultured Glomeromycotina. RNAcentral's name for it is "eukaryotic LSU rRNA". The record is from RNAcentral. Lineage: Eukaryota; Fungi; Glomeromycota.
UAUCAGCCUUUUGGGCAUGAUUCUGUGGAGCGUGAGGAGUUAAACGCCUUCAUGCCUGCAUAUUCGUGUACUUUGGGUGUACUUGCCUGUGUGGUUAGUUAACAUCAAUUUUGGUUAUCAUAAAAUGGCUGGAGGAAUGUAGCUUCGAUUUCGAUUGAAGUGUUAUAGCCUUCGGCAGAUGUGAUGAUUGGGAUUGAGGAUUGCAACGGAUACCCUUCGGGGCUACCUGUCUGGUCUCUGAUCGUUGCUUUGGUGCCGAAAGCGUGCUUACGGUUAUCAAAGUCGAUGGUCAAUAGGUUAGAACGGGUUAAAUUCGUUAAGGAUGUUGACGUA